RNAcentral lists this transfer RNA (72 nucleotides) under Pochonia chlamydosporia 123. RNAcentral's name for it is "tRNA-Pro (TGG) (tRNA-Pro-TGG-1-1)". It matches the Rfam family "tRNA". Rfam says of the family: Transfer RNA (tRNA) molecules are approximately 80 nucleotides in length. Lineage: Eukaryota; Fungi; Ascomycota; Sordariomycetes; Hypocreales; Clavicipitaceae. The record is from RNAcentral.
GGCCAAAUGGUCUAGUGGUAUGAUUCUUGCUUUGGGUGCAAGAGGUCCUGGGUUCAAUUCCCAGUUUGGCCC